RNAcentral lists this ribosomal RNA (482 nucleotides) under uncultured bacterium. Its description in RNAcentral is "partial 16S ribosomal RNA". It matches the Rfam family "Bacterial small subunit ribosomal RNA", at positions 30 to 507 of the family's 1533-position model. The record is from RNAcentral.
AUUGAACGCUGGCGGCAUGCCUUACACAUGCAAGUCGAACGGUAACGGGCCUUCGGGUGCCGACGAGUGGCGAACGGGUGAGUAACACAUCGGAACGUGCCCGAUCGUGGGGGAUAACGGGGCGAAAGCUUGGCUAAUACCGCAUACGACCUACGGAUGAAAGCAGGGGACCGCAAGGCCUUGCGCGGACGGAGCGGCCGAUGGCAGAUUAGGUAGUUGGUGGGAUAAAAGCUUACCAAGCCGACGAUCUGUAGCUGGUCUGAGAGGAUGAUCAGCCACACUGGGACUGAGACACGGCCCAGACUCCUACGGGAGGCAGCAGUGGGGAAUUUUGGACAAUGGGCGCAAGCCUGAUCCAGCCAUGCCGCGUGCAGGAUGAAGGCCUUCGGGUUGUAAACUGCUUUUGUACGGAACGAAAAGCCUUCUUUUAAUACAGGAGGGUCAUGACGGUACCGUAAGAAUAAGCACCGGCUAACUACGUG